UACAGAGGGUGCAAGCGUUGUUCGGAAUUAUUGGGCGUAAAGAGCGUGUAGGCGGUUUGGUAGGUCCGCUGUGAAAACUCGAGGCUCAACCUCGAGACGCCGGUGGAAACCAUCAGACUAGAGUCCGGAAGAGGAGAGUGGAAUUCCCGGUGCAGCGGUGAAAUGCGCAGAUAUCAGGAGGAACACCAAUGGCGAAGGCAGCACUCUGGGACGUGACUGACGCUGAGACGCGAAAGCGUGGGGAGCAAACAGG
This 253-nucleotide ribosomal RNA is filed under the name uncultured bacterium. RNAcentral describes it as "partial 16S ribosomal RNA". It matches the Rfam family "Bacterial small subunit ribosomal RNA", at positions 524 to 776 of the family's 1533-position model. The record is from RNAcentral.